This 303-nucleotide ribosomal RNA is filed under the name uncultured bacterium. Its description in RNAcentral is "partial 16S ribosomal RNA". It matches the Rfam family "Bacterial small subunit ribosomal RNA", at positions 510 to 808 of the family's 1533-position model. The record is from RNAcentral.
AGCAGUCGCACGGGAAUACGAAGGGUGCAAGCGUUAAUCGGAAUUACUGGGCGUAAAGCGUGCGUAGGCGGUUUGUUAAGUCUGUUGUGAAAUCCCCGGGCUCAACCUGGGAAUGGCAAUGGAUACUGGCAAGCUAGAGUGUGUCAGAGGAUGGUGGAAUUCCCGGUGUAGCGGUGAAAUGCGUAGAGAUCGGGAGGAACAUCAGUGGCGAAGGCGGCCAUCUGGGACAACACUGACGCUGAGGCACGAAAGCGUGGGGAGCAAACAGGAUUAGAUACCCCAGUAGUCCCUGUCUCUUAUACA